GUCAUCCUACGGGGCGCAGCAGUGGGGAAUAUUGCACAAUGGGGGAAACCCUGAUGCAGCAACGCCGCGUGGGUGAAGAAGUAUUUCGGUAUGUAAAGCUCUAUCAGCAGGGAAGAAGAUGACGGUACCUGAUUAAGAAGCCCCGGCUAACUACGUGCCAGCAGCCGCGGUAAUACGUAGGGGGCAAGCGUUAUCCGGAUUUACUGGGUGUAAAGGGAGCGCAGACGGCAGCGCAAGUCUGGAGUGAAAGCCCGGGGCCCAGCCCCGGAACUGCUCUGGAAACUGUGCGGCUA
This 293-nucleotide ribosomal RNA is filed under the name uncultured bacterium. RNAcentral's name for it is "partial 16S ribosomal RNA". It matches the Rfam family "Bacterial small subunit ribosomal RNA", at positions 333 to 643 of the family's 1533-position model. The record is from RNAcentral.